This 87-nucleotide small nucleolar RNA is filed under the name Rhizoclosmatium globosum. Its description in RNAcentral is "Small nucleolar RNA R38". It matches the Rfam family "Small nucleolar RNA R38". Rfam says of the family: snoR38 is a C/D box small nucleolar RNA conserved across yeast, human, Arabidopsis and rice. Lineage: Eukaryota; Fungi; Chytridiomycota; Chytridiomycetes; Chytridiales; Chytriomycetaceae. The record is from Rfam by way of RNAcentral.
GAGCGGGCGUGAUGAACGAAUUUUGUCAAUCAAACAGUUAUCCCUGACGGAAAAGCAUUUGUCGAUAUGAUGGACUCUGACCCAAUC